This 82-nucleotide transfer RNA is filed under the name Nonomuraea glycinis. Its description in RNAcentral is "tRNA-Ile". The record is from RNAcentral. Lineage: Bacteria; Bacillati; Actinomycetota; Actinomycetes; Streptosporangiales; Streptosporangiaceae.
GCAGCGAGUUGGGCAGCCGGAUGCCCUCGCCGCUGAUGACGGCGAUCACCGACGGCUCCAGCUCGGUCCUGACCUCGAGGUA